GUAAUAUUAAAAGUUUGCUGUAAAUAUUUCAUAGCCACAAGUCUGUCAUUGGCUCUUUCUUACACCAUAACAAUAAUGUAACUCACAUGCAAUGUCCUGAGAGCUAUGGCUAAAUAAUGGACAUACCAACUCUCAAUAUUGGGGUUUACAUGCUCUUUUAAAUAAAAUUGGGUCACCUGUCAAUUAGCAGGGAUUAAAUUGUUGUACUUUGUUAAUGAAGUGAAUGAAAUCCAGAGGGCUGUAAAUAAAGCUUAUCAAGAGAUCACAUGACUACCAACAUCUACAUGGGCCAGAGGAUCAUAUUACAUAAUGAGAGAGAGAGAGAGAGAGAGAGACUCCCUAUAAAGUAGAGAAAACACAACCAACUUUAUGCUUGAGUUCCCUGUGAGAUUUGGGGAAAUUACACAGUAGCAGAUAUGUGUCUCAUCAAAUUCAUCAAAGGGAUGCUGAUUUCAUUCUCAGAAGCCACUGACAACUAAAUGCAGAAGCCGCUGACUGCCACGAAGCAUGGACUACACAGGUACCAAGUCCAACAACAUAAGGGCCUGCUCCGUCGCCUGGAUUUGGAGCAUAGAUACUGUAUGAGGGGGAUCGAGCAGCAGCAGAGACAGUACUACAGGGCACUGGGGAGACUGGGGCCUGGCUGCUGUCCCUCAUCCCAGAGGUCUAGAGCAAAGACUCCCGGCAGCUCCACUCUUCCUGCCCUCCACAGUGCACAGACAGGAAGCUGGAGAAUGGGGUGCACCAGGGCCCAGAUGGCCACAUCUGUGGAUGGGAGGAGUGACACUGAGGAACCACAACCCGACCCGAGAUUGUCCUUGGACCAUUCUGCCGGUGUUGAGACUAACAUGAUUUGGAAUAGGGCUGUUGUCAGACAGCCUACUUGGGCAACCUUGACGUUUGCAGAUAUAAGACACAGACACAUGGCCAUGAUCCAAACCAUGGAACCCUUCAGGAAAUGGAAACACAUAAUUUUGUCAACUACAGGUCAGCCAGACACCAACCAAGAGCCUAGCUGGAACGAGCAAGAUCCAAACAGCCCACAGGUCAUGAGGUCAGCCAGCAUCAGAACACAGAGAGUAUCCCUCUCACAUGCAUCCACACAGAGGUUUAAACAGUUUAACAAAACUGACAGAUAAUAGACAACCUACCCACCACUAUUGGUGCUCCAAGAGAUAGACUAGGACUUGUAAACUGUUCAGUCAUUGUCUGCAAACAACAAUAAAACACUUCAUUCACCACUCCAAAAUGCAUGCUUCAUUCCUCCACCUAGCUACAAACCUGGUUUCUCUGUGGCCAGAGGGCAGAGGUCAGAGGUUAAGAGAGAAGUGAGGUCUGCCUGCCAAUGACCUCUACCUCCAACUGCUCAGAUUAAUCCAAGUCUGCAAACCCUUAAACCGCUGCAAGGCUUUCUCUGUUAAUCAUUCUGGGUAAUCUUUGCAGUUUGUGAAGUCCAC
This is a long non-coding RNA of Oncorhynchus tshawytscha (Chinook salmon), 1457 nucleotides long. The record is from Ensembl. Lineage: Eukaryota; Metazoa; Chordata; Actinopteri; Salmoniformes; Salmonidae.